This 766-nucleotide ribosomal RNA is filed under the name uncultured bacterium. RNAcentral's name for it is "bacterial SSU rRNA". It matches the Rfam family "Bacterial small subunit ribosomal RNA", at positions 572 to 1333 of the family's 1533-position model. The record is from RNAcentral.
UAGGCGGUUUGUCGCGUCUGCUGUGAAAAGUUCGGGCUUAACCCGGACCGUGCAGUGGGUACGGGCUGACUGGAGUGCAGUAGGGGAGACUGGAAUUCCUGGUGUAGCGGUGAAAUGCGCAGAUAUCAGGAGGAACACCGAUGGCGAAGGCAGGUCUCUGGGCUGUUACUGACGCUGAGAAGCGAAAGCAUGGGGAGCGAACAGGAUUAGAUACCCUGGUAGUCCAUGCCGUAAACGUUGGGCACUAGGUGUGGGGAGCAUUCCACGUUUUCCGCGCCGUAGCUAACGCAUUAAGUGCCCCGCCUGGGGAGUACGGCCGCAAGGCUAAAACUCAAAGGAAUUGACGGGGGCCCGCACAAGCGGCGGAGCAUGCGGAUUAAUUCGAUGCAACGCGAAGAACCUUACCAAGGCUUGACAUGGACCGGAUCGCUGCAGAGAUGUAGUUUCCCUUCGGGGCUGGUUCACAGGUGGUGCAUGGUUGUCGUCAGCUCGUGUCGUGAGAUGUUGGGUUAAGUCCCGCAACGAGCGCAACCCUUUAUCCUAUGUUGCCAGCACGUGAUGGUUGGGGACUCAUUGGAACGCUGCCGGGGUCAACUCGGAGGAAGGUGGGGAUGACGUCAAAUCAUCAUGCCCCUUAUGUCUUGGGCUUCACGCAUGCUACAAUGGCCGGUACAGUGGGUUGCGAUGCCGUGAGGUGGAGCUAAUCCCUAAAAGCCGGUCUCAGUUCGGAUCGAAGUCUGCAACUCGACUUCGUGAAGUUGGAGUC